RNAcentral lists this ribosomal RNA (826 nucleotides) under uncultured bacterium. Its description in RNAcentral is "bacterial SSU rRNA". It matches the Rfam family "Bacterial small subunit ribosomal RNA", at positions 72 to 874 of the family's 1533-position model. The record is from RNAcentral.
AUUUCUUCGGAAUGAAUUCUUUAAAACCCAGUGGCGGACGGGUGAGUAACACGUGGGUAACCUGCCCUUCCGUAGGGGAUAACAUUUGGAAACAGAUGCUAAUACCGUAUAAACCUCAGAAACACAUGUUUCUGAGUUGAAAGGCGGCUUUCGAGCUGUCGCUUUUGGAUGGACCCGCGGCGUAUUAGCUAGUUGGUGAGGUAAAGGCUCACCAAGGCAGUGAUACGUAGCCGACCUGAGAGGGUGAUCGGCCACAUUGGGACUGAGACACGGCCCAAACUCCCACGGGAGGCAGCAGUAGGGAAUCUUCCACAAUGGACGAAAGUCUGAUGGAGCAACGCCGCGUGAGUGAAGAAGGUUUUCGGAUCGUAAAACUCUGUUGUUGGAGAAGAACACGUUUGAGAGUAACUGUUCAGACGUUGACGGUAUCCAACCAGAAAGCCACGGCUAACUACGUGCCAGCAGCCGCGGUAAUACGUAGGUGGCAAGCGUUAUCCGGAUUUAUUGGGCGUAAAGCGAGCGCAGGCGGUUUCUUAAGUCUGAUGUGAAAGCCUUCGGCUUAACCGAAGAAGUGCAUCGGAAACUGGGAAACUUGAGUGCAGAAGAGGACAGUGGAACUCCAUGUGUAGCGGUGAAAUGCGUAGAUAUAUGGAAGAACACCGGUGGCGAAGGCGGCUGUCUGGUCUGUAACUGACGCUGAGGCUCGAAAGCAUGGGUAGCGAACAGGAUUAGAUACCCUGGUAGUCCAUGCCGUAAACGAUGAAUGCUAGGUGUUGGAGGGUUUCCGCCCUUCAGUGCCGCAGCUAACGCAUUAAGCAUUCCGCCU